CAGUCGCCGCGGUAAUACGGAGGGUGCAAGCGUUAAUCGGAAUUACUGGGCGUAAAGCGCACGCAGGCGGUCUGACAAGUCAGAUGUGAAAUCCCCGGGCUUAACCUGGGAACUGCAUUUGAAACUGUCAGGCUGGAGUCUUGUAGAGGGGGGUGGAAUUCCAGGUGUAGCAGUGAAAUGCGUAGAGAUCUGGAGGAAUACCGGUGGCGAAGGCGGCCCCCUGGACAAAGACUGACGCUCAGGUGCGAAAGCGUGGGGAGCAAACAGGAUUAGAUACCCCAGUAGUCCCUGUCUCUUAUAC
Molecule: ribosomal RNA, 301 nt
Filed under: uncultured bacterium
Lineage: Bacteria
Description: partial 16S ribosomal RNA
Rfam family: Bacterial small subunit ribosomal RNA
Source: RNAcentral